UGAUCCGGAGAUGUCUGAAUGGGGGAACCCAGCCAUCAUAAGAUGGUUAUCUUACACUGAAUACAUAGGUGUAAGAGGCGAACCAGGGGAACUGAAACAUCUAAGUACCCUGAGGAAAAGAAAUCAACCGAGAUUCCCUUAGUAGUGGCGAGCGAACGGGGACCAGCCCUUAAGUUGUAUUGAGAUUAGCGGAACGCUCUGGAAAGUGCGGCCAUAGUGGGUGAUAGCCCUGUACGCGAAAAUCCCUUUGCAAUGAAAUCGAGUAGGACGGGGCACGAGAAACCUUGUCUGAAUAUGGGGGGACCAUCCUCCAAGGCUAAAUACUACUGACUGACCGAUAGUGAACCAGUACCGUGAGGGAAAGGCGAAAAGAACCGCGGAGAGCGGAGUGAAAUAGAUCCUGAAACCGUAUGCGUACAAGCAGUGGGAGCCCACUUUGUUGGGUGACUGCGUACCUUUUGUAUAAUGGGUCAGCGACUUAUUUUCAGUGGCGAGCUUAACCGAAUAGGGGAGGCGUAGCGAAAGCGAGUCUUAAUAGGGCGUCUAGUCGCUGGGAAUAGACCCGAAACCGGGCGAUCUAUCCAUGGGCAGGUUGAAGGUUGGGUAACACUAACUGGAGGACCGAACCGACUACCGUUGAAAAGUUAGCGGAUGACCUGUGGAUCGGAGUGAAAGGCUAAUCAAGCUCGGAGAUAGCUGGUUCUCCUCGAAAGCUAUUUAGGUAGCGCCUCAUGUAUCACUGUAGGGGGUAGAGCACUGUUUCGGCUAGGGGGUCAUCCCGACUUACCAAACCGAUGCAAACUCCGAAUACCUACAAGUGCCGAGCAUGGGAGACACACGGCGGGUGCUAACGUCCGUCGUGAAAAGGGAAACAACCCAGACCGUCAGCUAAGGUCCCAAAGUCAUGGUUAAGUGGGAAACGAUGUGGGAAGGCUUAGACAGCUAGGAGGUUGGCUUAGAAGCAGCCACCCUUUAAAGAAAGCGUAAUAGCUCACUAGUCGAGUCGGCCUGCGCGGAAGAUGUAACGGGGCUCAAACCAUGCACCGAAGCUACGGGUAUCAUCUUAUGAUGAUGCGGUAGAGGAGCGUUCUGUAAGCCUGUGAAGGUGAGUUGAGAAGCUUGCUGGAGGUAUCAGAAGUGCGAAUGCUGACAUGAGUAACGACAAUGGGUGUGAAAAACACCCACGCCGAAAGACCAAGGUUUCCUGCGCAACGUUAAUCGACGCAGGGUUAGUCGGUCCCUAAGGCGAGGCUGAAAAGCGUAGUCGAUGGAAAACAGGUUAAUAUUCCUGUACUUCUGGUUAUUGCGAUGGAGGGACGGAGAAGGCUAGGCCAGCCUGGCGUUGGUAGUCCAGGUUUAAGGUGGUAGGCUGAGAUCUUAGGUAAAUCCGGGAUCUUAAGGCCGAGAGCUGAUGACGAGUGUUCUUUUAGAACAUGAAGUGGUUGAUGCCAUGCUUCCAAGAAAAGCUUCUAAGCUUCAGGUAACCAGGAACCGUACCCCAAACCGACACAGGUGGUUGGGUAGAGAAUACCAAGGCGCUUGAGAGAACUCGGGUGAAGGAACUAGGCAAAAUGGCACCGUAACUUCGGGAGAAGGUGCGCCGGUGAGGGUGAAGCAUUUACUGCGUAAGCCCACGCCGGUCGAAGAUACCAGGCCGCUGCGACUGUUUAUUAAAAACACAGCACUCUGCAAACACGAAAGUGGACGUAUAGGGUGUGACGCCUGCCCGGUGCCGGAAGGUUAAUUGAUGGGGUUAGCGCAAGCGAAGCUCUUGAUCGAAGCCCCGGUAAACGGCGGCCGUAACUAUAACGGUCCUAAGGUAGCGAAAUUCCUUGUCGGGUAAGUUCCGACCUGCACGAAUGGCGUAACGAUGGCGGCGCUGUCUCCACCCGAGACUCAGUGAAAUUGAAAUCGCUGUGAAGAUGCAGUGUAUCCGCGGCUAGACGGAAAGACCCCGUGAACCUUUACUAUAGCUUUGCACUGGACUUUGAAUUUGCUUGUGUAGGAUAGGUGGGAGGCUUUGAAGCGUGGACGCCAGUCUGCGUGGAGCCAACCUUGAAAUACCACCCUGGCAACUUUGAGGUUCUAACUCAGGUCCGUUAUCCGGAUCGAGGACAGUGUAUGGUGGGUAGUUUGACUGGGGCGGUCUCCUCCUAAAGAGUAACGGAGGAGUACGAAGGUGCGCUCAGACCGGUCGGAAAUCGGUCGUAGAGUAUAAAGGCAAAAGCGCGCUUGACUGCGAGACAGACACGUCGAGCAGGUACGAAAGUAGGUCUUAGUGAUCCGGUGGUUCUGUAUGGAAGGGCCAUCGCUCAACGGAUAAAAGGUACUCCGGGGAUAACAGGCUGAUACCGCCCAAGAGUUCAUAUCGACGGCGGUGUUUGGCACCUCGAUGUCGGCUCAUCACAUCCUGGGGCUGAAGCCGGUCCCAAGGGUAUGGCUGUUCGCCAUUUAAAGUGGUACGCGAGCUGGGUUUAGAACGUCGUGAGACAGUUCGGUCCCUAUCUGCCGUGGACGUUUGAGAUUUGAGAGGGGCUGCUCCUAGUACGAGAGGACCGGAGUGGACGAACCUCUGGUGUUCCGGUUGUCACGCCAGUGGCAUUGCCGGGUAGCUAUGUUCGGAAAAGAUAACCGCUGAAAGCAUCUAAGCGGGAAACUUGCCUCAAGAUGAGAUCUCACUGGAACCUUGAGUUCCCUGAAGGGCCGUCGAAGACUACGACGUUGAUAGGUUGGGUGUGUAAGCGCUGUGAGGCGUUGAGCUAACCAAUACUAAUUGCCCGUGAGGCUUGACC
This 2792-nucleotide ribosomal RNA is filed under the name Pseudomonas syringae ICMP 18806. RNAcentral's name for it is "bacterial LSU rRNA". It matches the Rfam family "Bacterial large subunit ribosomal RNA". Lineage: Bacteria; Pseudomonadati; Pseudomonadota; Gammaproteobacteria; Pseudomonadales; Pseudomonadaceae. The record is from RNAcentral.